UAACGCGUGAGGAACCUGCCUCAAAGAGGGGGACAACAGUUGGAAACGACUGCUAAUACCGCAUAAGCCCACGACCCGGCAUCGGGUUGAGGGAAAAGGAGCAAUCCGCUUUGAGAUGGCCUCGCGUCCGAUUAGCUAGUUGGUGAGGUAAUGGUCCACCAAGGCAACGAUCGGUAGCCGGACUGAGAGGUUGAACGGCCACAUUGGGACUGAGACACGGCCCAGACUCCUACGGGAGGCAGCAGUGGGGAAUAUUGCACAAUGGGGGAAACCCUGAUGCAGCGACGCCGCGUGGAGGAAGAAGGUCUUCGGAUUGUAAACUCCUGUUGUUGAGGAAGAUAAUGACGGUACUCAACAAGGAAGUGACGGCUAACUACGUGCCAGCAGCCGCGGUAAAACGUAGGUCACAAGCGUUGUCCGGAAUUACUGGGUGUAAAGGGAGCGCAGGCGGGAAGACAAGUUGGAAGUGAAAUCUAUGGGCUCAACCCAUAAACUGCUUUCAAAACUGUUUUUCUUGAGUAGUGCAGAGGUAGGCGGAAUUCCCGGUGUAGCGGUGGAAUGCGUAGAUAUCGGGAGGAACACCAGUGGCGAAGGCGGCCUACUGGGCACCAACUGACGCUGAGGCUCGAAAGUGUGGGUAGCAAACAGGAUUAGAUACCCUGGUAGUCCACACCGUAAACGAUGAUUACUAGGUGU
RNAcentral lists this ribosomal RNA (696 nucleotides) under uncultured bacterium. RNAcentral's name for it is "bacterial SSU rRNA". It matches the Rfam family "Bacterial small subunit ribosomal RNA", at positions 111 to 823 of the family's 1533-position model. The record is from RNAcentral.